Molecule: unclassified non-coding RNA, 383 nt
Filed under: Hevea brasiliensis (rubber tree)
Lineage: Eukaryota; Viridiplantae; Streptophyta; Magnoliopsida; Malpighiales; Euphorbiaceae
Source: RNAcentral
GUUUUUAGCAUCUUGUUUUCUUUUAUCUAAUCUUGAUGUCUUAUUCAUUGACUGAUGCUGUCUCUGGACGUCAGGCUCUUUUAUUUGGUUUUUAUUCCAUUUAAGAGAAUGUGAAUGAUACAAGGAAUGAAAGGUGGAGUUAUACGUGUCAGCUUGAUGGUCUUUGGCUUCAUUUUAAUAAUGUUAAAUGUCUUUUGCCAUUCCAAGCAGCCGUAUUGGCUGCACACGGCUUUUCAAGCUUGCUGUUAUGAAGUAAAUCUACCUUUUCGUUUACCUAUGCACACUUUUUUCACAAUAUUUCUGGUUGUUGAAACUUUUCAAUCAUGCUAUGGGAACCACUGCUGCUUGUUUGAGGCUCUUGGAUAAAAUUGGACAAUCUCUUA